This 351-nucleotide ribosomal RNA is filed under the name Pelmatocerandra setosa. RNAcentral describes it as "partial 12S ribosomal RNA". Lineage: Eukaryota; Metazoa; Arthropoda; Insecta; Psocodea; Philopteridae. The record is from RNAcentral.
AAACAAUAUAGCUUGUUUGUGUAGAGUAGAGCUUAUUAGUCUUGAAAAACUAAAUUCAAUGGCGGCUUGGUAACUAUAUAGAGAGGUGUGCUUUAUUAAAUCGACAAUGCACGAAUAUCUUAUCUAAUUUUGCUUGAUUCAUUUUACACACCGCCGUCGGAAGAGUAUUUUUAAAAGAUUAUUCUGUUUCUUAUAUGAAGAUGUAAGUCAGGUCAAGGCGUAGAUGAUAGUUAGGUUAAAGUGCAACUCUAUAAUAAUAUUAUGUCUAAUUUAUUUAUAUAAUUACUUUUGUAAUGGUUUAAAUAUAAUUUAGUAAUUGAAUUUAUAAGUAAGAUUUGUUUACUAUACUAA